UUCUCAUCACUCAUCUCAAUCCCAAGCCUUCAUCACCAUUGACGCUGAGAUCGGAGCUGCCGUACGUUGUGUUUCGUUUGAUCACGUCUAAGUGGGGAGAGAAAGCAAACAUGACAUAUCGUCACCAUUCAACACCGGUUUGAUUAGGAGUGAAAGAAGAAAACAAUGUCAAGUAGUGGAUUUGGUGACCCGUUUAUUGAUACGUCUGAAGUAAAUUAAGGCAAUUUAUUUACGGAUCUGGAUAGCCCUUGUUGCCAAGAUUUCAGAACAGUUUUCUGAUUCUCAAUCAGAGAUCUCGCUUCAAGGAAGCCAUAGCAAUUGACGGUUUGUCAAACGGAGAUUCAAGUUGGAGUUUUGUAAGGCUCAUAUCUUUCGAAGCAGAGAGAAUCAGUUGACCUGUAAAGUGUCUCUGAAAAGCUCAUAUUGUCUAGAAUGCACAGCAUGUGGCGGAGAUUAAAUCGAGGUUAUAUUUAAGACGUUUUAAAUAUUUCUUUCUCGCCAAGUAACUGCAGACACUGUCCAAAUCUAUGCUGAGUAUGAACUAGAAAACAGUUGGUGGGUGAUUGAUGGCAACGUUUGGAGGUCGAAACAGCGUCUGAUCGGGACGAAAUUUGGCGGAGAGCUUCAUGGUACUACUGGCUAGAUUAUCAACGGUGGGAUUGCAUUUAUAACGGUCCCCUUUGAUGGAGAGCCAAGGUAGAACUUAAGAUCAUGUGGUUGCAGUAAAGAUAUUAAGUAUGCCUAAAUGAAAAGAAAGGAGAAUUGAGUCUUCGUCUUCAAUAGGCUAAGGUGAGUAAGCUUCAGGAGUUGUGUGCAAUAAUGUUUUGUUCGUGUGUGAAGUUUAAAGAAAACGUUUUGGCAAGAUCGGAUGAAUAACAUGCUGUUUUGGCAUGUAUGGCGGGACGCGUGUUACAAGUGAUUUCAUGUUUUCCAGCCAAAAACGUGAUUUUGUGUUUUCCUGCCGAAAACGUGAUCCUGCGUUUUCUCUCCAAAACGUGAUUUUCCGUUUUUCCGCCAAAAACCUGAUCCCGCGUUUUUUCGCUAAAAAAUGUGAUUUUCCG
Long non-coding RNA from Arabidopsis lyrata subsp. lyrata, 1061 nucleotides. RefSeq lists it as uncharacterized. The record is from RefSeq and is a predicted model, not a curated record. NCBI's taxonomy places the organism in Eukaryota, Viridiplantae, Streptophyta, Magnoliopsida, Brassicales, Brassicaceae. The transcript is spliced from 6 exons.